RNAcentral lists this ribosomal RNA (253 nucleotides) under uncultured bacterium. RNAcentral's name for it is "partial 16S ribosomal RNA". It matches the Rfam family "Bacterial small subunit ribosomal RNA", at positions 524 to 776 of the family's 1533-position model. The record is from RNAcentral.
GACGAACCGUGCGAACGUUGUUCGGAAUCACUGGGCUUAAAGGGCGCGUAGGCGGGCAGGCAAGUCAGGGGUGAAAUCCCACGGCUCAACCGUGGAAGUGCCUUUGAUACAGCACGUCUCGAGUCCGGAAGAGGUGGGCGGAAUUCCUAGUGUAGAGGUGAAAUUCGUAGAUAUUAGGAAGAACACCGGUGGCGAAGGCGGCCCACUGGUCCGGUACUGACGCUGAGGUGCGAAAGCGUGGGGAGCAAACAGG